This is a non-coding RNA of Drosophila virilis, 719 nucleotides long. NCBI's taxonomy places the organism in Eukaryota, Metazoa, Arthropoda, Insecta, Diptera, Drosophilidae. The record is from RefSeq and is a predicted model, not a curated record.
GCCAAAACGAUGGCGUGUCAUCGCUGAAAAUGUGUUAAUCUUUGGAAUUUAGUCAAACGUUCGCCUUUAAUCAUAAAUAUUGCUGCAAAUUGCCAACGCAGGGGUUGGACUUGUCGAGAGCAGGAGCUCCGAGUGGCGAGUGCUUAAGAGUUUGGGGAGUAGCAGGAGCAGCGGACAGAAUUGCUUGCUUGGCCACUCAACCACCAAACGUGCCCAGCUGGCAGCGUUUGCUGCUGCAACUGCUGCUCUUGCUAUUGUCAAUGCGUAGCCACUGAAGAGGCCGCCACCGCCAGUUCGAGUGGGACAACCCACCACAAACUACAACUCGUGCACGCACAAAAUUUGUCGAUUGCAUCCCAAAACUGGCGAAAUGUCAACGGGCCUGAAGUUCGGAGUGCACUUCACAGCUCUGCGUUGCACUGGCGACAAAAUGCAGUUGCUGUUGCAACACGACAGCAAGAGGCAGAAUGAAGCAGGGCAGGGACAGGCUGUAAGCCCAAUGGGACACUCGAGCGGCCCUUGGCACCCUUAAGCUGCAAUACGAUGCGUUCACUGACGAAGAAUUGCAGCAAAUUUGCAAGAAAAAGAGUGAAAAACUGCGAGCUGGUGAGAAGAGAAGCGGAGGGCCGCGUUUAGUUUAUAGAACUUCCAUGAGCUUGGACUGGCAGGCUGUGAAAUUUAUUAAGCGCAAAACUAUAAUUAAAGCAAAGUAAAAAUUA